CAGCUACUACUUAAUUUACACAUGCAAGNUCUCCGCACCCNUGUGAAANCGCCCUUGNACUUCUUUGAGAAAUGAGGAGCCGGUAUCAGGCUCAAAGAUUAGCCCAAGACACCUAGCUAUGCCACACCCACACGGGAAUUCAGCAGUGAUUAACAUUGAAAAUAAGCGACAGCUUGAAUCAGUUAAAGUAAAAAGAGCCGGCAAAUCUGGUGCCAGCCGCCGCGGUUACACCACGUGACUCAAACUGACCUCUUCCGGCGUAAAGCGUGAUUAAAGCCUNCUUUACCACUGCAAUUAAACCAGAGCUGAGCUGUGACACGCCUACUCCUGAGAACCCCAAAAACGAAAGUCAUUGCAANCCCCNAAUCUUGAACUCACGACAGCUAGAAAACAAACUGGGAUUAGAUACCCCACUAUGUCUAGCCGUAAANCUUUUAUUUACAUCUACACCGCCAGGGAACUACGAGCAAAGCUUAAAACCCAAGGGACUUGACGGUACCCCAUAUCCACCUAGAGGAGCCUGUCCUAUAAUCGAUAACCCCCGCUUAACCUCACCAUUUUUAGCAUAUCAGCCUGUAUACCUCCGUCGUCAGCUUACCCCGUGAGCGCCAACUAGUGAGCUAAAUGCCCCUACGCCAGUACGUCAGGUCAAGGUGCAGCAUAUAAAAUGGGAAGAGAUGGGCUACACUGUCUAAAUUAGACUACACGGAAGACUAUAU
Molecule: ribosomal RNA, 719 nt
Filed under: Dendropsophus kamagarini
Lineage: Eukaryota; Metazoa; Chordata; Amphibia; Anura; Hylidae
Description: partial 12S ribosomal RNA
Rfam family: Bacterial small subunit ribosomal RNA
Source: RNAcentral